GGAGUUGUUGCUGGCCUUUACAGGCAUGUGCACGCUCUGAUCGACCUUUCAAACCCCUGUGCACAUUUUGUAGGAGAGGGUAAUACCUCUUCUAUGUUUUUAUACAUACCCCUUUAAAGUCUAUGAACGUUUUAUAUGAAUAAAAAUAAAAUAUAACUUUCAACAACGGAUCUCUUGGCUCUCGCAUCGAUGAAGAACGCAGCGAAAUGCGAUAAGUAAUGUGAAUUGCAGAAUUCAGUGAAUCAUCGAAUCUUUGAACGCACCUUGCGCUCCUUGGUAUUCCGAGGAGCAUGCCUGUUUGAGUGUCAUUAAAUUCUCAACCCUUCAACUUUAUUGAUGGAGCGGCUUGGACUUGGAGUGUGCUGGUGAUAACAUCGGCUCCUCUUUAAAUGCAUUAGCAGCAACCUUUCAAUGUGCAAUCGGUGUGAUAAUUAUCUACGCCUUAAAAAGCCUUUGAAGUCUGCUUAUAAUUGUCCUUCUGGACAACUUAAUGAUUAUCUUGACCUCAAAUCAGGUAGGACUACCCGCUGAACUUAAGCAUAUCAAUAAGCGGAGGAAAAGAAACUAACAAGGAUUCCCCUAGUAACUGCGAGUGAAGCGGGAAAAGCUCAAAUUUAAAAUCUGGCGGUCUUUAGGUCGUCCGAGUUGUAAUCUGGAGAAGUGUUUUCCGCGCUGGACCGUGUACAAGUCUCUUGGAACAGAGCGUCAUAGAGGGUGAGAAUCCCGUCUUUGACACGGACAACCAGUGCUAUGUGAUGCGCUCUCGAAGAGUCGAGUUGUUUGGGAAUGCAGCUCAAAAUGGGUGGUAAAUUCCAUCUAAAGCUAAAUAUUGGCGAGAGACCGAUAGCGAACAAGUACCGUGAGGGAAAGAUGAAAAGCACUUUGGAAAAGAGAGUUAAACAGUACGUGAAAUUGUUGA
This 919-nucleotide ribosomal RNA is filed under the name Pseudoathelia septentrionalis. RNAcentral describes it as "Leptosporomyces septentrionalis partial 28S ribosomal RNA". The stretch from base 501 to 919 matches the Rfam family "Eukaryotic large subunit ribosomal RNA", at positions 1 to 411 of the family's 3401-position model. Lineage: Eukaryota; Fungi; Basidiomycota; Agaricomycetes; Amylocorticiales. The record is from RNAcentral.